Molecule: ribosomal RNA, 253 nt
Filed under: uncultured bacterium
Lineage: Bacteria
Description: partial 16S ribosomal RNA
Rfam family: Bacterial small subunit ribosomal RNA
Source: RNAcentral
UACGGGGGGUGCAAGCGUUGUUCGGAAUUACUGGGCGUAAAGGGCUCGUAGGUGGCCAACUAAGUCACACGUGAAAUCCCUCGGCUUAACCGGGGAACUGCGUGUGAUACUGGAUGGCUUGAGUUUGGGAGAGGGAUGCGGAAUUCCAGGUGUAGCGGUGAAAUGCGUAGAUAUCUGGAGGAACACCGGUGGCGAAGGCGGCAUCCUGGACCAAUACUGACGCUGAGGCACGAAAGCGUGGGUAGCAAACAGG